GUAACGACCCACCCCGACCUCCACAGGGCGUAUCUUACUGAUAGAUGCUUAAAAAUAAAAUAAUAAUAAUAAUCCUUUUACAAUCCAUAAAAGUUAUAUCCUUGAAAAUACAAAUAUAUAACGCAAACUGCAGCGGAAGAAUUUAAAAUUCAUGCCAGACCAUCUAAUUCCUCCAUUCAAGUCCUUCUCGACGCUUAUCACGAAUCAAUCCUUAUUUACGGAAACUGAAUCACAAUAAACUAUAAUGAGUACGAAACUCAGUAAGUAAACCAGUUUUGCAUAUACGAAAAUACAUACAUUCAUAUAUAUAGUGCAAAUGAAUGACGUGCCAUGGUAUUCGAAAACAUCGUAAAACAAAUCAUUGAAAUCUCAUUCUGUCUUUCUCAAACUUUUACAUUCUCUUUCAAACCACUUACUUGAGCUACCUUCAUUCGAUUACCGCUUAGUUGGACACUCCCUUAACUUUCAUACUCUUUAGGCUUCUCGCCAAUGCGUCCUUCGCCCACUUAUCUCAUAACUAUAUAAACAUCUAGAGUGUCCUCCACUAAGCCAGUAACAAAUUCAAGGAUCCAAGCCAAAACUGUAAAACAAUCUUUCUUUCCACACAUUCCGUUUGCUAAAAUCAACUUUCUCAUUUUACAGAAAACAUAAUGCAUUUUCGUGCUCAUGCCAAUGAAAUAUUCACACAUACGUAUGCCCAUGUCCAUAAACACACAUAACAACACAGCAUAUCAACACAUCGUAUAAACACAUGGGCAGAGCAUAUAAAUCAAUAUCCGUACAUAUAUAAAAAUAAGCUUUCCAAACAUGUCAAACAUAUAUAUUGUUUAUUGUGAUUCGUUUGAAAAUCUAGUUUACUUACCUCUUGGUAUCCUCGAGUAACAAAUGCACAUCGAUAUCAUCGGCCUAAAAAUAAAUAAAAAAUACUCUCAUAAGAAUAAAAUUAAACCAUAAUCAUAAACUCCAGUAUUCUCAAAUUCCUUAAUAUAAUCACAUUCCAUAGUUAACCUUAAAUAAUCUUAAUUUAAAUAAUAAAUCAUCAAAAUACUCAUAAUUCUUGAAAUUACGAAAUUACCCUCAAAUAUCAAAAUUACCAAAAUGCCCUUGAAUUCAAUAUUACCAAAAUACCCUCAAAUAUAAAAAUUACCAAAUUAACCUCAAAAUCAUAAAUUACCAACUUUAUCCUAAAUUUCAGCAAUUACUAAAAUACCCACAAAAUCUAAAAUUACAAAAUUGCCCUUAGACUGUGAAAUUACCGAAAUACCCUUGUCGGUCAACGGUCACCGAAAUUCAACCGACGGC
Molecule: long non-coding RNA, 1302 nt
Filed under: Citrus x clementina
Lineage: Eukaryota; Viridiplantae; Streptophyta; Magnoliopsida; Sapindales; Rutaceae
Description: Citrus clementina (C. clementina) long non-coding RNA (CCLE_LNC002533)
Source: RNAcentral